Molecule: long non-coding RNA, 1701 nt
Filed under: Homo sapiens (human)
Lineage: Eukaryota; Metazoa; Chordata; Mammalia; Primates; Hominidae
Description: VASH1 antisense RNA 1 (VASH1-AS1)
Source: RNAcentral
GUCUCUUCCUUCCUAGGCCUACCUCUGUUGGUGCUUUUGUCUUCCAACCUCCCUAUGUAGUAAGACCAGCCAAGCCCACAUGCCCACUGGGAGCCCUGAAACCAGAUCUGGUUUUCUGUCUUACCUGAACAGGUUCCCAGAACCCACACCAGGCCUCUGAAUCAGUCUCUGAGAAUCUGAUUGAUUUAAAGCCACUUGGUUGCUUCCAUUGCACUACCUGGGUUGCGAUCCCCUCAAUUGAUUUAGUAAAAAGAAAACUUAGCGGCCGGGUGCGGUGGCUCACACCUGUAAUCCCAGCACUUUGGGAGGCUGAGGCGGGUGGAUCACCUGAGGUCGAGAGUUCCAGACCAGCCUGACCAACAUGAAGAAAUCCCGUCUCUACUAAAAAUACAAAAUUAGCCGGGCGUGAUGGCGCAUGCCUGUAAUCCCAGCUACUUGGAGGCUGAGGCAGGAGAAUUGCUUGAACCUGGGAAGCGGAGGUUGUGGUGAGCCGAGAUCAUGCCAUUGCACUCCAGCCUGGACAACAAGAGUGAAACUCCAUCUCAAAAAAAAAAAAAGAAAAGAAAAGAAAAGAAAGAAAACUCAGCUAGGAAUUAGAAACAUCAUUUGUCCUCUUGGCCUGUUCAGCUGGUGACUGUAGAUUUGAUGAAAAGGAAACUUGGGACUCCGGAGGACCAAGAUGGAGCGAGACGGUCAAUACUGAUGGACUUGCAGCUAGCACCAUGGCAGCCCUGCCUGGUCUAAGGAAGCUGGCAGGAGGCGAUGGUACCUGGCGGGGGCAGACUGCCCACCUCCCCACUCCUUCAGAGGACUGUUUCCUGCCCUUCACACCAUCAUCAUGUUGGGCCCUGCAUGUAUGUUCCUGCACUUGGAGCGAGCCCAGGGACACAGGGCAGACACUGGGCUCACAGAUGUUGCUGCAGCUGAGCCAGAAAACAUUCCAGGCAGGAAAAGCAGGUGCACACAUUCACACAGGCCUCUGGUCACUCGACCAGCCAGAAUGAGACGGACUCCUUGACCUGGGAAGUCAAGUCCCAGUGGGAAGGGCUGGAAAUCACACGUGGUCAACUUCUUGGCUCUCUCUGCUCCCCAAACCCUGGCCCUAGGCUUGCUUUAUCAUCACAUCCCAAGGCCAGAGGGCUGCUGCUGUCCCCAUCUUGGCCCUGCUAGAAGAGGGAUAGGGGUGGCUGGCAUGAUGGGUGAGGGGAACAUGAGAAUAUGCAGAGGCCUUGGAGGAAGAGGACUGGCAGUUAUGACAGGAAGGCUCUCUAUACCUGGCUCCCCAGUGUUCUGCCCCUGGCACUGAGCAUGAGGAGCCAGGCUUUGGGGAGACUUUGCAAUCACCCCCCCAACCUGGUCCAUUUUCCACAGGUAGCUUUCUUGAACUCACCUUGACCCCUCCUCAGCCAGCAGCCCCCACCUCCAGGGGCAAAGGAGCUGAAAGACAGUCCUGAACUGGGGGGAGCUGGGAUCACAUCAGCCAGGCCCUGUCCCUCACAGGAAGUGAGAUGAGGUGAUACCAUGGAUGGUGACUAAGGCCCCAAAGUCCCUGCCUCUCUGCCUCCCCAGAAACCUCACAGCCAGGCCAGCCCCCAGAGCAGAGCCUGUGUAAACAUGCCCAGGAGGGGAGGAGGGGUUGCUACAUAUGAGAAACAGUUAAAAAUAAAUUUAAAAAGCACCACUAAAAAAAAAAAAAAAAAA